RNAcentral lists this transfer RNA (75 nucleotides) under Bacillota bacterium. Its description in RNAcentral is "Firmicutes bacterium (anaerobic digester metagenome) tRNA-Gly". It matches the Rfam family "tRNA". Rfam says of the family: Transfer RNA (tRNA) molecules are approximately 80 nucleotides in length. Their secondary structure includes four short double-helical elements and three loops (D, anti-codon, and T loops). The record is from RNAcentral. Lineage: Bacteria; Bacillati; Bacillota.
GCGGAAGUAGUUCAGUGGAAGAACACCACCUUGCCCAGGUGGGGGCCGCGGGUUCAAAUCCCGUCUUCCGCUCCA